AUUGAACGCUGGCGGCAUGCCUUACACAUGCAAGUCGAACGGCAGCACGGGUGCUUGCACCUGGUGGCGAGUGGCGAACGGGUGAGUAAUACAUCGGAACGUACCUUAUCGUGGGGGAUAACGCAGCGAAAGCUGUGCUAAUACCGCAUACGCCCUGAGGGGGAAAGCGGGGGAUCGCAAGACCUCGCGCGAUUAGAGCGGCCGAUGCCUGAUUAGCUUGUUGGUGGGGUAAAAGCCCACCAAGGCGACGAUCAGUAUGUGGGCUGAGAGGACGAUCAGCCACACUGGGACUGAGACACGGCCCAGACGCCUACGGGAGGCAGCAGUGGGGAAUUUUUGACAAUGGGGGCAACCCUGAUCCAGCAAUGCCGCGUGAGUGAAGAAGGCCUUCGGGUUGUAAAGCUCUUUUGUCAGGGAAGAAACACCGGCUCUAACACAGUCUGGGAAUGACGGUACCUGAAGAAUAAGCACCGGCUAACUACGUGCCAGCCGCCGCGGUAA
This 501-nucleotide ribosomal RNA is filed under the name uncultured bacterium. Its description in RNAcentral is "partial 16S ribosomal RNA". It matches the Rfam family "Bacterial small subunit ribosomal RNA", at positions 29 to 523 of the family's 1533-position model. The record is from RNAcentral.